CCUACGGGUGGCAGCAGUGAGGAAUAUUGGUCAAUGGACGCAAGUCUGAACCAGCCAUGCCGCGUGCAGGAAGACGGCCCUAUGAGUUGUAAACUGCUUUUGUACGAGGGUAAACGCAGAUACGUGUAUCUGUCUGAAAGUAUCGUACGAAUAAGGAACGGCUAACUCCGCGCCAGCAGCCGCGGUAAUACGGAGGAUUCAAGCGUUAUCCGGAUUUAUGGGGUGUAAAGGGUGCGUAGGCGGUCGGAUAAGUUAGAGGUGAAAUCCCGAGGCUCAACUUCGGAAUUGCCUCUGAUACUGUUCGGCUGGAGAGUAGUAGCGGUAGGCGGAAUGUAUGGUGUAGCGGUGAAAUGCGUAGAGAUCAUACAGAACACCAGUGGCGAAGGCAGCUUAC
This 394-nucleotide ribosomal RNA is filed under the name uncultured bacterium. RNAcentral describes it as "partial 16S ribosomal RNA". It matches the Rfam family "Bacterial small subunit ribosomal RNA", at positions 338 to 729 of the family's 1533-position model. The record is from RNAcentral.